RNAcentral lists this ribosomal RNA (233 nucleotides) under uncultured bacterium. RNAcentral's name for it is "partial 16S ribosomal RNA". It matches the Rfam family "Bacterial small subunit ribosomal RNA", at positions 106 to 339 of the family's 1533-position model. The record is from RNAcentral.
GUGAGUAACGCGUAUACAAUCUACCCAUAUCAGGGGGAUAGCCCGAAGAAAUUCGGAUUAAUACCCCAUAACAUUUACGAGAGGCAUCUCUUGUAUCUUAAACCUUCGGGGGAUAUGGAUGAGUAUGCGUGCCAUUAGUUAGAUGGUGAGGUAACGGCUCACCAUGACAAUGAUGGCUACGGGGUCUUAAAGGAUGGUCCCGCACACUGGUACUGAGACACGGACCAGACUCC